AGAGUUUGAUCAUGGCUCAGAACGAACGCUGGCGGCAGGCUUAACACAUGCAAGUCGAGCGCCCCGCAAGGGGAGCGGCAGACGGGUGAGUAACGCGUGGGAAUCUACCCAUCUCUACGGAACAACAGUUGGAAACGACUGCUAAUACCGUAUACGCCCCUUGGGGGAAAGAUUUAUCGGAGAUGGAUGAGCCCGCGUUGGAUUAGCUAGUUGGUGGGGUAAAGGCCUACCAAGGCGACGAUCCAUAGCUGGUCUGAGAGGAUGAUCAGCCACAUUGGGACUGAGACACGGCCCAAACUCCUACGGGAGGCAGCAGUGGGGAAUAUUGGACAAUGGGCGCAAGCCUGAUCCAGCCAUGCCGCGUGAGUGAUGAAGGCCUUAGGGUUGUAAAGCUCUUUCACCGGUGAAGAUAAUGACGGUAACCGGAGAAGAAGCCCCGGCUAACUUCGUGCCAGCAGCCGCGGUAAUACGAAGGGGGCUAGCGUUGUUCGGAAUUACUGGGCGUAAAGCGCACGUAGGCGGAUAUUUAAGUCAGGGGUGAAAUCCCAGAGCUCAACUCUGGAACUGCCUUUGAUACUGGGUAUCUCGAGUAUGGAAGAGGUGAGUGGAAUUCCGAGUGUAGAGGUGAAAUUCGUAGAUAUUCGGAGGAACACCAGUGGCGAAGGCGGCUCACUGGUCCAUUACUGACGCUGAGGUGCGAAAGCGUGGGGAGCAAACAGGAUUAGAUACCCUAGUAGUCC
This 740-nucleotide ribosomal RNA is filed under the name uncultured bacterium. RNAcentral's name for it is "bacterial SSU rRNA". It matches the Rfam family "Bacterial small subunit ribosomal RNA", at positions 8 to 796 of the family's 1533-position model. The record is from RNAcentral.